This is a small nucleolar RNA of Struthio camelus australis, 84 nucleotides long. Ensembl annotates it as small nucleolar RNA, C/D box 11B. Its record names the gene SNORD11B. The record is from Ensembl. NCBI's taxonomy places the organism in Eukaryota, Metazoa, Chordata, Aves, Struthioniformes, Struthionidae.
UGAUGGCAGUGAUGAUUCCUCUAACGUUGCUGACCUGAUGUUCAAACGUGAGGGUGUGCAGUCACUACCUCAUCUGAGCCAUCU